RNAcentral lists this ribosomal RNA (468 nucleotides) under uncultured bacterium. RNAcentral's name for it is "partial 16S ribosomal RNA". It matches the Rfam family "Bacterial small subunit ribosomal RNA", at positions 28 to 507 of the family's 1533-position model. The record is from RNAcentral.
GACGAACACUGGCGGCGUGCUUAACACAUGCAAGUCGAACGGAAAGGCCCUGCUUUUGUGGGGUGCUCGAGUGGCGAACGGGUGAGUAACACGUGAGUAACCUGCCCUUGACUUUGGGAUAACUUCAGGAAACUGGGGCUACUACCGGAUAGGAGCUCCUGCUGCAUGGUGGGGGUUGGAAAGUUUCGGCGGUUGGGGAUGGACUCGCGGCUUAUCCGCUUGUUGGUGGGGUAGUGGCUUACCAAGGCUUUGACGGCUAGCCGGCCUGAGAGGGUGACCGGCCACAUUGGGACAGAGAUACGGCCCAGACUCCUACGGGAGGCAGCAGUGGGGAAUAUUGCACAAUGGGCGGAAGCCUGAUGCAGCAACGCCGCGUGCGGAAUGACGGCCUUCGGGUUGUAAACCGCUUUCGCAUGUGACGAAGCGUGAGUGGCGGCAAUGAGUAAAGAAGCACCGGCUAACUACGUG